UGGGGGAUAUUGGACAAUGGGGGCAACCCUGAUCCAGCUAUGCCGCGUGUGUGAAGAAGGCCUGCGGGUUGUAAAGCACUUUCAGUGGGGAGGAGGGUACGCGAGUUAAAAGCUAGAGGUACUGGACGUUACCCACAGAAGAAGCACCGGCAAACUCCGUGCCAGCAGCCGCGGUAAUACGGAGGGUGCGAGCGUUAAUCGGAAUUACUGGGCGUAAAGGGUGCGUAGGCGGUUUAGUAAGUUAUGUGUGAAAUACUUGGGCUUAACCUAGGUGCUGCAUAUAAUACUGUUAAGCUAGAGUAUGGUAGAGGGUAGUGGAAUUUCCGGUGUAGCGGUGAAAUGCGUAGAGAUCGGGAGGAACACUGGUGGCGAAGGCGGCUACCUGGACCAAUACUGACGCUGAGGCACGAAAGCGUGGGGAGCAAACAGG
RNAcentral lists this ribosomal RNA (430 nucleotides) under uncultured bacterium. Its description in RNAcentral is "bacterial SSU rRNA". It matches the Rfam family "Bacterial small subunit ribosomal RNA", at positions 355 to 776 of the family's 1533-position model. The record is from RNAcentral.